UNGAUCAUGACAGAGGCCUAUUGUAACCC
This 29-nucleotide non-coding RNA is filed under the name Mus musculus (house mouse). The record is from RNAcentral. Lineage: Eukaryota; Metazoa; Chordata; Mammalia; Rodentia; Muridae.